Molecule: long non-coding RNA, 866 nt
Organism: Hyaena hyaena (striped hyena)
Lineage: Eukaryota; Metazoa; Chordata; Mammalia; Carnivora; Hyaenidae
Exons: 6
Source: RefSeq, a predicted model, not a curated record
GAGUGAUCUCCCCUGAGCCUGCCAGUGUAAAAUAAACCACCUGCCUUCCAAGCUAUCUGAGUGCCACUUGCUUCUGCUGCUGGGUGAUCCAGACCAGAUUCUGUAACAUUUGGUUUCCUGACCGGGAAACCUAACCGUGCUGGCCCGUUGUUGCCACCAGUUUAAGAAAACGGCGAGGCGGUGACGAAAUGAGAAACUGCAAAGGAGAAGGCGCGCCCUGCCUGAAUUUUGGUAGUCUCCCAAGGAGACUUGGCAGGUUAACACAUCCUGACGCUGGGCACAACUGAGAAACAGAGGAUGACGUGAACAACCAGGACACAAGACUGCAAGGCUGUGGAUGGUGCAGAUAGGAUUAAUAGCAGGAACAGAGAAGUGACUAACUCUAAGGUCCAUUGGCCAGAGGCAGUCAUGUGGCCCUGUCGACUACGAAGGGAAGUGUGCUCAGAAGAAGACAAAUGGAUGUUGUUUUUUAGAUGAUGAAGCUGAGGCUGAAAGACUAUGAAGGACUUAAUGUGAGGUCUUACAGCAGUUACAACUGAGCCAAGUUUCUUGAAGACAGCUGUGAAAUGACCCUGGACAAGCUGACUGCAUUAUUCUAGGUUCAAAUUUCAUCCUCUGUAAAGUAAAAAGUACAGGUAGGAGAGGAGAGCUUACCUAUGACCUUCUUCUCUUCUUGAACUUGCCUAUGAUGCCUGGGGUAUGGCUGUCACCUUGUGACCAGGAGGCAGCAAGCAUGAGGAGGAAAAGCUAACAAUGCUACCGUUGGUGGAACAAAGAAACAGAAGGAAUCCAGAUCCUCAAUAACACUGUUGAGCCACUGAAAUAAUAUCAGCAACAGCCCAUCUCAAACCUUGUCAUAUGAGAAA